UGAGGGAAUAUUUGGGGUCAAUGGGCGAGAGCCUGAACCAGCCAAGUCGCGUGAGGGAAGACUGCCCUAUGGGUUGUAAACCUCUUUUGGCGGGGGAUAAAGUGCGGGACGUGUCCCGUAUUGCAGGUACCCGUCGAAUAAGGAUCGGCUAACUCCGUGCCAGCAGCCGCGGUAAUACGGAGGAUCCGAGCGUUAUCCGGAUUUAUUGGGUUUAAAGGGUGCGCAGGCGGCCUGUUAAGUCAGCGGUGAAAUCCCGGGGCUCAACCCCGGGACUGCCGUUGAUACUGGUAGGCUUGAGUGCGGAUAAGGAUGGCGGAAUGUGUCAUGUAGCGGUGAAAUGCUUAGAUAUGCCACAGAACACCGAUUGCGAAGGCAGCUGUCCGGGCCGUGACUGACGCUGA
This 401-nucleotide ribosomal RNA is filed under the name uncultured Parabacteroides sp. RNAcentral describes it as "bacterial SSU rRNA". It matches the Rfam family "Bacterial small subunit ribosomal RNA", at positions 354 to 749 of the family's 1533-position model. The record is from RNAcentral. Lineage: Bacteria; Pseudomonadati; Bacteroidota; Bacteroidia; Bacteroidales; Tannerellaceae.